This 70-nucleotide transfer RNA is filed under the name Ovis aries (sheep). It matches the Rfam family "tRNA". From Rfam's summary of the family: Transfer RNA (tRNA) molecules are approximately 80 nucleotides in length. Lineage: Eukaryota; Metazoa; Chordata; Mammalia; Artiodactyla; Bovidae. The record is from Rfam by way of RNAcentral.
UCCUUGGUGGCUCAAAGGGUAGCAUCUGCCUGCAAUGCAGGAGACCCAAGUUCGAUCCCUGGAUCGGGAA